AUGAAAUUUUAAAACCCUUACCAGGUACCAAGCUACUGCUGUGAGGGAAAUCUCCUGUUCCAAGCCUACUUUUGGAUGCAGAGAACUCUCCACAUCUGGCUCUUAGCCUGACAGAAGUGAAUCACUAGGAUGCAGUAUUGUCAUAUGGAUUGCAGGGCCCUCCAGCCCUCCCAGGUUCCAGGAAGGCAUGGAAUCAUUCUGUAUAUCCUAAAAUAUCUGUUGUGAUGCCUAAUAUGUAGCAACGACCCAAAUAUUUGAUAAAUGAAUGAACAAAAACAAUCACUGAGCCAUUAUUAGACCCAAGUCUAUGUUCUCGAAGCUGGUAUUUCAAUUUUUAAAAAGUCCAUUCAAAAUUCUUAGCUGCCAAGAAGAAACUUGAGUAGUG
Molecule: long non-coding RNA, 385 nt
Filed under: Mustela putorius furo (domestic ferret)
Lineage: Eukaryota; Metazoa; Chordata; Mammalia; Carnivora; Mustelidae
Description: lncRNA (ENSMPUG00000028238.1)
Source: RNAcentral